RNAcentral lists this ribosomal RNA (556 nucleotides) under Cladosporium sp. YZ-2011a. Its description in RNAcentral is "eukaryotic LSU rRNA". The stretch from base 187 to 340 matches the Rfam family "5.8S ribosomal RNA". The record is from RNAcentral. Lineage: Eukaryota; Fungi; Ascomycota; Dothideomycetes; Cladosporiales; Cladosporiaceae.
UUCCGUAGGCUGAACCUGCGGAGGGAUCAUURCRMGUGACCCCGGCUACGGCCGGGAUGUUCAUAACCCUUUGUUGUCCGACUCUGUUGCCUCCGGGGCGACCCUGCCUUCGGGCGGGGGCUCCGGGUGGACACUUCAAACUCUUGCGUAACUUUGCAGUCUGAGUAAACUUAAUUAAUAAAUUAAAACUUUUAACAACGGAUCUCUUGGUUCUGGCAUCGAUGAAGAACGCAGCGAAAUGCGAUAAGUAAUGUGAAUUGCAGAAUUCAGUGAAUCAUCGAAUCUUUGAACGCACAUUGCGCCCCCUGGUAUUCCGGGGGGCAUGCCUGUUCGAGCGUCAUUUCACCACUCAAGCCUCGCUUGGUAUUGGGCAACGCGGUCCGCCGCGUGCCUCAAAUCGUCCGGCUGGGUCUUCUGUCCCCUAAGCGUUGUGGAAACUAUUCGCUAAAGGGUGUUCGGGAGGCUACGCCGUAAAACAACCCCAUUUCUAAGGUUGACCUCGGAUCCAGGUAGGGAWACCCGCYGAACUUAAGCAUAUCAAUAAGCGGAGGAAAUC